UUCCUUGGAAAAGGACAGCUGAGAGGGUGACACUCCCGUCCGCCUGGCAGAGUGAGUCAUUUGUUAACGAGUCGAGUUGUUUGGGAUUGCAGCUCUAAUUUGGUGGUAAAUUCCAUCUAAAGCUAAAUAUUGGUGGGAGACCGAUAGCGUACAAGUACCGUGAGGGAAAGAUGCAAAGAACUUUGAAAAGAGAGUUAAAGAGUACCUGAAACUGCUGAAACGGAAGCGAAGGAAACCAGUGUUUGUUUGUUCAUAUUUCCCUAGCCACUUGUGGCUUGGGCG
Molecule: ribosomal RNA, 282 nt
Filed under: Pseudo-nitzschia multiseries
Lineage: Eukaryota; Bacillariophyta; Bacillariophyceae; Bacillariales; Bacillariaceae
Description: partial 28S ribosomal RNA
Rfam family: Eukaryotic large subunit ribosomal RNA
Source: RNAcentral